UACAGAGACUGCAAGCGUUAUUCGGAUUCACUGGGCGUAAAGGGUGCGCAGGCGGCCGAGUGUGUGAGGCGUGAAAGCCCGGGGCUUAACCCCGGAAGUGCACUGAAUACUGUUUGGCUAGAGGACGAGAGAGGAAAGUGGAAUUCCUGGUGUAGGGGUGAAAUCCGUAGAUAUCAGGAGGAACAUCGGUGGCGAAGGCGACUUUCUGGCUCGUUUCUGACGCUCAGACGCGAAAGCGUGGGGAGCAAACAGG
RNAcentral lists this ribosomal RNA (253 nucleotides) under uncultured bacterium. RNAcentral describes it as "partial 16S ribosomal RNA". It matches the Rfam family "Bacterial small subunit ribosomal RNA", at positions 524 to 776 of the family's 1533-position model. The record is from RNAcentral.